This 240-nucleotide long non-coding RNA is filed under the name Elaeis guineensis (African oil palm). RNAcentral's name for it is "long non-coding RNA (EGUI_LNC080238)". The record is from RNAcentral. Lineage: Eukaryota; Viridiplantae; Streptophyta; Magnoliopsida; Arecales; Arecaceae.
UUUCAAGUAUUUUCCUUUAUUCCUCGUGUCAUGAGAUGAUGUUUGGGAUAUGGCAUGUGGAAGAGGAGGAGUCCUUCUCUUGGAAGGAAAUUGGAUGCCACAAAUAAAUGGGAUGCCUCCAUAUAUUUGGAUAUUAUGGUAGAGUCUUAAAUGUAAUGGACUCUUAAUUUCUUCCUUUAUUUCUCCAUGCAUUUCUUAAUUCCUCGUGACAUGAGAUGCCUCUUGGGAUUAUGGGCACAG